This 399-nucleotide ribosomal RNA is filed under the name uncultured bacterium. RNAcentral's name for it is "partial 16S ribosomal RNA". It matches the Rfam family "Bacterial small subunit ribosomal RNA", at positions 338 to 734 of the family's 1533-position model. The record is from RNAcentral.
CCUACGGGAGGCAGCAGUGAGGAAUAUUGGUCAAUGGGCGCAAGCCUGAACCAGCCAAGUCGCGUGAGGGAUGACGGCUCUACGGAUUGUAAACCUCUUUUAUAAAGGAAUAAAGUGCGGCACGUGUGCCGUUUUGUAUGUACUUUAUGAAUAAGGAUCGGCUAACUCUGUGCCAGCAGCCGCGGUAAUACGGAGGAUCCGAGCGUUAUCCGGAUUUAUUGGGUUUAAAGGGUGCGUAGGUGGCUUUUUAAGUCAGUGGUGAAAGUUUGCGGCUCAACCAUAAAAUUGCCGUUGAAACUGGGAGGCUUGAGUAUAGUUGAGGCAGGCGGAAUGCGUGGUGUAGCGGUGAAAUGCUUAGAUAUCACGCAGAACCCCGAUUGCGAAGGCAGCCUACCAAGC